UACGUAGGUGGCAAGCGUUGUCCGGAUUUAUUGGGUUUAAAGGGUGCGUAGGCGGCCUUAUAAGUCAGUGCUGAAAUAUCCCGGCUUAACCGGGAGGGUGGCAUUGAUACUGUAGGGCUUGAGCGUAGUCGAGGUAGGCGGAAUUGACGGUGUAGCGGUGAAAUGCUUAGAUAUCGUCAAGGACACCGAUAGUGUAGACAGCUUACUAGACUUCAACUGACGCUGAGGCACGAAAGUGUGGGGAUCAAACAGG
Molecule: ribosomal RNA, 253 nt
Filed under: uncultured bacterium
Lineage: Bacteria
Description: partial 16S ribosomal RNA
Rfam family: Bacterial small subunit ribosomal RNA
Source: RNAcentral